GAUGAAGAACGCAGCGAAAUGCGAUACGUAAUGUGAAUUGCAGAAUUCAGUGAAUCAUCGAAUCUUUGAACGCACAUUGCGCCCGUCAGUAUUCUGGCGGGCAUGCCUGUUCGAGCGUCAUUACGCCCCUCAAGUCCCCUGUGGACUUGGCGUUGGGGAUCGGCGAGGCUGGUUUUCCAGCACAGCCGUCCCUUAAAUUAAUUGGCGGUCUCGCCGUGGCCCUCCUCUGCGCAGUAGUAAAACACUCGCAACAGGAGCCCGGCGCGGUCCACUGCCGUAAAACCCCCCAACUUUUUAUAGUUGACCUCGAAUCAGGUAGGACUACCCGCUGAACUUAAGCAUAUCAAUAAGCGGAGGA
Molecule: unclassified non-coding RNA, 358 nt
Filed under: soil metagenome
Description: partial contains 5.8S ribosomal RNA, internal transcribed spacer 2, and large subunit ribosomal RNA
Rfam family: 5.8S ribosomal RNA (bases 1-120)
Source: RNAcentral